RNA transcript from Oncorhynchus gorbuscha (pink salmon), 2347 nucleotides. It is a transcript of the gene named G-protein coupled receptor 35-like, with no coding region annotated. Lineage: Eukaryota; Metazoa; Chordata; Actinopteri; Salmoniformes; Salmonidae. The record is from RefSeq and is a predicted model, not a curated record. The transcript has 4 exons.
GAUAGAAACUACUUUACAGCAGUUGCAAAAGAGCAUAUAGCAAUCAAUGCAUGUCAAAUUUGAACUUACACCUGAUUUUCGGAGAAAAGUUUAAUUGAACGCCAUUUUCUUUGCAAGGAGAUCGAUCUCAUCAGUCACUGAGUGAGAAAGGAGAGUGGGAAAUAACACCAGCUCAGCAGGACAAGCCUACGAUUCUACUCUUUUUAGAAAGGAAACAGCAACCCUCAGCUUCCAGUCAAAGCAGCCAGAGGGGAGAGGAAGCUCUGCAAUGCAGACACAGCAACAACCUCACUUUCACUGACCAAUCACAGCCAAGCAGGGUAUGAGUGACAGCAGCAUCAACCAGUCACAGAGAGAACAGCCUCAGGAGUCUGCCAGCGAGAACAGCCUCAGGAGUCUGCCAGCAAGAACAGCCUCAGGAGUCUGCCAGCGAGAACAGCCUCAGGAGUCUGCCAGCGAGAACAGCCUCAGGAGUCUGCCAGCGAGAACAGCCUCAGGAGUCUGCCAGCGAGAACAGCCUCAGGAGUCCACCAGCAGCGAGAUACAGAGAUAUCCGGAGGACUAAAUGACAAUGACAGAGAAAGAGGUCAGAGAGAAAGAGAAAGUGAGAGAAAAGGUAGAACAGACAGAAAGAGAACGAUAUAGAAAGAGACAUGGUUUCCCUGCUUGAUCACUGCCCGUUGUGAGUCCUCUCAUUCGAACUCUUCUUACUCAGCAGCUGGCUGAGAUCCACCAGCUCCCCCAGCUCUCCUCUCCCCAAGGCCCCUCUCAGCUGAGACCUGCCAGGCCCGGGUGUGUGGUGCUGGGCUACGUACUGCUGGCCUUUGAUGGUGGGCAUGGAGGAUGGAGGUACAGGGACCAUGCCCUGGCUGCUGAGGAUGUAGCCUUCCUGGGGAGGCCAGCGGAGUGGCAGGGGCUCCCCAAACUCCAUAGGGGCGCUGGGGGCUGACACCACCCUCCUCCUAUCCGGAGAAUCCUGGGGGGUCAUGGGGUACACAUACUCCCCUGCCGACUUACGAAGCGCCGACUUUGGUGUCCCACUUCUGCCCUUCUCCCCCCGGGGCUUGCUCAGGCACACGUAGUGCUGGCGAGGAGUCUCCCCUACUCUUCCUCGCUCCUCACCCCCGUGCCUCCCUCCUCCUCCCCCCUGAAAUAGUCUGGUGGUCAGGUAGACAGCGGUGGAGGGGUGUGGGGGGCAAGGGAGAGGGCAGGGAGACGCCAGCCCCAUGGUACUCCCUCCCAGGUAGGUCUGGCUGUUAUCCCACCCCCCUGAUCCAGAAUCAGACAGCCUGAGUCCACGUCUUUUAUGCUGGGGCGUGUGCUCCGGAGUAGGCAGGAACCCUGGGUCCAGCUCCCCUGACUUCCCCCAGCCGUUGGGCAUCACAAACAGGGUCUCCCCGCCCUGAGAGCAGGGUCUAUCGCCUCCUCCCUGACGGGUCACACUGAGGACCGAUCCCCCCAUCCCUCCUCCUGACGUCAACAUCCCCCUCUCCUGGCGCUGGAUAGUGGACUGGGGGGUAUUGUUGCCGUGGCGACGGUUUCCAGGCUUGUGGGCCAUAAUCCAGCAGACAGCCAGGCCCGAGAGCGCCGCACCGAUGGUGAAGGCUGAGAUUGCAGAUGCCACCAGCAGGUUGAGGGAGACCAGGCUCUCUGGCUCGAUCAGCAGACUCUGCUGUAUGGCACCUUUAGGGGAGAGAGAAGACAAGAGAAAGGGAUCACUAAUCUCGGACACCUACAACUAAAGUCUUGUGUAACUGCAUCAGAUGCUCGAUUAAGUUCUUAGGGGGGACGUGUUAAGUCUCACGAGACUAGAUAAGUCCCCACCCCACUCAAUGAAAACUGUCAGACAUUUUCGGCCAAGCUAUGGGCCAAAUGUCACCUCCCCUUUGGAAUUUCAAAACGAUGCGAGCACCUGUGAAAUUGUGAUUUGUCCAAAUGAUCAGUGACAAAGAGUCAGCGUACCAGAACAAAGUUCCUUGCUAGUCGUUGUAUCCCAGAGUCGACAGAUGCUACACUACCAUUUCCAUUCCGUGCAUCUGUCCCCGAGAGAUAAGGCUAAUGGCAAGAGAGAAUAUAAAAACGCUUAACAUUAAACCAGUUAUCUCAGUCCUUUAUUCUCCUCUACCUCUGUGUACUCAUUCUCCUUUAUAAAUCUCUCCACUCUUGUUAUUGUCACAUUUUUAGAUGUUUUAUCCUUCAGAACCUAAACAUUAUUUGCCUGAUGUCAAGGAUUAUUAUUAUUAUUAUUGCUAUAUUGUAUUACCCAAGAGCUUAAUCUUAUUCUCUAUUACCGUAAUCUACCAUAACAUUUCAUAACGGCAACAGAUAAGCAUCACCUUUCCUUUGU